UACAGAGGGUGCAAGCGUUGCUCGGAAUUAUUGGGCGUAAAGGGUAGGUAGGUGGUCUCGUUUGUCUGAGGUGAAAUCCCUGGGCUUAACCUAGGAAGUGCCUCGGAAACGGCGAGACUUGAGUUCUGGAGAGGAUUGCGGAAUUCCUGGUGUAGCGGUGAAAUGCGUAGAUAUCAGGAGGAAUACCAGCGGCGAAGGCGGCAAUCUGGACAGACACUGACACUCAACUACGAAAGCGUGGGUAGCAAACAGG
This 253-nucleotide ribosomal RNA is filed under the name uncultured bacterium. RNAcentral's name for it is "partial 16S ribosomal RNA". It matches the Rfam family "Bacterial small subunit ribosomal RNA", at positions 524 to 776 of the family's 1533-position model. The record is from RNAcentral.